RNAcentral lists this ribosomal RNA (497 nucleotides) under uncultured bacterium. Its description in RNAcentral is "partial 16S ribosomal RNA". It matches the Rfam family "Bacterial small subunit ribosomal RNA", at positions 28 to 507 of the family's 1533-position model. The record is from RNAcentral.
GAUGAACGCUGGCGGCGUGCCUAAUACAUGCAAGUCGAGCGAACAGACGAGGAGCUUGCUCCUCUGACGUUAGCGGCGGACGGGUGAGUAACACGUGGAUAACCUACCUAUAAGACUGGGAUAACUUCGGGAAACCGGAGCUAAUACCGGAUAAUAUAUUGAACCGCAUGGUUCAAUAGUGAAAGACGGUUUUGCUGUCACUUAUAGAUGGAUCCGCGCCGCAUUAGCUAGUUGGUAAGGUAACGGCUUACCAAGGCAACGAUGCGUAGCCGACCUGAGAGGGUGAUCGGCCACACUGGAACUGAGACACGGUCCAGACUCCUACGGGAGGCAGCAGUAGGGAAUCUUCCGCAAAGGGCGAAAGCCUGACGGAGCAACGCCGCGUGAAUGAUGAAGGUCUUCGGAUCGUAAAACUCUGUUAUUAGGGAAGAACAAAUGUGUAAGUAACUAUGCACGUCUUGACGGUACCUAAUCAGAAAGCCACGACUAACUACGUG